Molecule: long non-coding RNA, 4057 nt
Organism: Gasterosteus aculeatus aculeatus (three-spined stickleback)
Lineage: Eukaryota; Metazoa; Chordata; Actinopteri; Perciformes; Gasterosteidae
Source: Ensembl
GUCAGUGGGCGUAAGAGGUCUGCUCAGAGGAGGGGAAUGUGCUUCCAGACUGUUUGGAGACAGAACAUUGCGUCUUGAAACAACAGUUCACUCGGAUCUAUGAUGCAAGAGAGAUUCAGUUUAGAUCGUGGUUCGAUGUGGACCCUGGUCCUGCCUCUCAGGGACACUGUUCUAUUUGCGUGGCGCUGCUGAACAAAAGGCCUGGUCACCCAUGGUGUGGAGAUGAGUGUUGGGGACCUAGAGGAGCAAGCUGGUUGCAGAUCUGAGGGUGCGGGUGAAGGUUGGAAACACAAACCCCGAUGCAGGAGCAGCGGUAGACUUACAUGGAGCGUACCAGACGGUGAUGGAGGAGCAGAAGAUGGACUCGAUGAUGGAGUGCACCAUCAUCGUCAUUGGCAGGUUGACUUUCUUCAGCUGUCUCAGGAAGAACAACCUCUGCUCAGCCUUCUUGGUGAUGGAGCUGAAGUUCAGCCCAGAAAACGAAAGGAAUCCACAGCGUUGAUGGGGUGAUGGGGGAGUGAUGGGGGAGGGUGGGACUCUGUUCUUCCUGAAAUCCACAACCAUCUCCACUGUCUUCAGAGCGUUGAGCUCCAGGUUGUUCUGGCUGCACCACAACACCAGAUGGUCAGUCCAAUGAGGGUGGUGUCAUCCGCAAACUUCAGCAGCUUGACGGACUGCCGACUGGAGUUGCAGCUGUUGGUGUACAGGGAGAUGAGCAGAGGGGAAAGAACGCAGCCUUGGGGGGAACCGGUGCUGAUGGACCGAGAGGCAGAGACAUGUUUCCCAAGUUUCGCGUGCCGCUUUCUGUCAGACAGGAAGUCAGUGAUUCACUUGCAGUGAACGUGCAGCUGAGAGAGUUUGUCCUGCAGCAGAGACGGGAUGAUGGUGUUGAAAGCAGAGCUGAAGUCUACAAACAGGAUCGUGGCGUAGGUUAACACAUAUAACACAAUAACACAUGAGCUACCUUAUUUUUAAGUUUUGUACUAAAGAACAGAUUCAUUUUGUCAAUAUACAGACACACAGCCAUACACAAGUACAGAGUAAAAGACAAGACACCCUAAAUUGCCUGAUGCAACAUUUUUGUUGUUGUAUUUUCACUUAUGUCACUCGUUGUCACACACAUCUAACACUGCCUCCAACAAAACAAAUAAAAAUGUGCUGCUCUCAUCAACGUUGGCUUCCGUCACUCCUGACGAAUCCCAUCCAACCAACCUUCCUCAGGGUGAGUGUUAAGUGUGCAAGUGGGUGCUUCUUAUAUCUUAUAUCACAAAGUGGUAGUCCUGCGUGCCUUUAGCAAUGCCGUAGGCGUUGAAGAGGGUGAGAAAGGACGAACGGGUGUCUGUUAUGUAUCUCUGUCACAGCCUCAGGGUUCACGGUCUACUACAAUGGAGGCCGACAGCAUCAUUUGUCAACUACGACAUUUGUAUCUGUUGUUCGACACACAGACACUCCACAUAAUAGUGUUCAACAUUUCCACACACACUGGAGUCACAGCCAGCACCUUUCCUUGAGCAUUAAGGUCUUUCUGAAAUUUAAAACAAUCUUAAACUACAUAUCUUUACUUAGGUGCACAUGCAGACACACAUACUAUGAUUUUAUUGCCCAACUUCCGCAGUUAUCCCCAAAAAGAUAACUAAUCGGCCCCACUGAAAAAGACAUCUUUGAUUACCUUUUAAUGUUACCCAAAGUCAUGCAAUCUUUUUGGCAACAUUUGUGCUUGGCAAAAUAUGUUUCUUGAAAGAAGCGGUUGUGGUUUAACUGGCAUCCGACGGACAGACCAUCCAGGCACAAAGCCCUCCGAAACAGAUCUUUUGAAGCACUUUCCCCAUUUAUAUGUAGAACCUUCUUCCUUCCUCUUGGCCAGCGGCGGAUGUGGGCUGAACGCUCCAGACGACGUAAAAGAGAGACUUCUGUCUCUUCGGCCUCUGCAAUGGAUAUGACAGAAGUGUCUCUUUUACUUGGCGCCUGAAAGGCAGUUUCCAAAUCAGUGGGUGUUAAUGUCUCCUUGUAUUUACAUUUAUUUGUGUAUGCGUUGAUGUGUGUGUGCAUGUGUGUCUGUGUGUGUGAAUAAUUGAGCGUAGUUAUUUUGGUUCCUCUGAGACUGUCAUGAGGAGCCAGGAUGAAAGACCAAAGAGAGUAAACCGCAGGUGAGAAGUUAGUGUGUGCACGUGUUAGUGUGUGUGUGCAUUUAAGUAUAUUCAUAGAAGAAACCGUAUUUACAUGGUAAAAGUUGAUCUCAGCUCUUUGAAGUGGGAAAGUAUCAGUGUCUUAAGAAAACACACUGAGGAAAGGGCAGUUCGUUGUGUAUUUGAUGUGUGUGUGUGUGUGUGUGUGUGUGUGUGUGUGUGUGUGUGUGUGUGUGUGUGUGUGUGUGUGUGUGUGUGUGUGUGUGUGUGUGCGUGUGUGUCUGUGUGGCAAGAGAAAGAAAACCGGAGCAAGCGGGAGAUGAGGCCAUUAAUAACUUCUUUAUCACAGAGGCCCCCUUUGCCUUCCUCUCCCUCUCAUCCUCCCUUUAUCUUUCUUCUGCCUCUUUCAAUCUUUUCCACCAGACUUUCUUUCACUAUUUGUCUCAUAGCAAUAGAAUUAUGGGGCUUGGUGGCUCCCGCCCACAUAUAUUUGAUAAUAGGUAUAUUCAUUAACGUGGUACUAACUCCUCCUCCUAACAUGUCCUUGUGUAUCCGUGUGUGUUUUCCCUGUCCUCAGUCUUAUCUACCGAGACUAAAAAGACAAGUCUCCUCAGAAUGGAAACCAAUUACAUACAAAGAGAGCGAUUAGAAGUGGGGGAAAUUAAAAAUGAAUAAAACACAAGCUGAUAAAGAAAGUUGGAGUAACAAAGGGGAAAGAUAUGGAAGAUUAGGACCGAUUAACAUGACUACACUGACUGGAAACCUGGAUAAAAGAAAACACAUGAUUAGGUAAGAAAAGUUUCUGCCAAACUGCUUGAUGAAAUUUAAAGCGAUGCUGCAAUAAAGUGUAGGAUGUGGGAAUAGACACUUCAGGUUUGUGUCAUGUGCUUCAUUAUUCUUCAUUCUUGACUUCUGAUUUCGAAGGACUGUCGGGUUACCUAAUGUGUACUGGAACGGAUGAACUAACAACAGUUUUUUGCUAAACUUUAUGUAUGAUGAAAUUACUGUUACUUUAUGUCUUAGCAUAGUUUCUUGUUUUUUCGAAUGACCCAGUGUUCCCUAACCACCGGGCCGCGGCCCGUUACCGGUGUGUGGGCCAUUUACCGGCCCGCACAGAAAGAACACAUUUUAUAUAUACUUUUAUAUCUCAUUUUAGUGUUUUUUAAAAUGUAUUUGUAAAAUGAAUGAUCUUUCUCAACGCCUGUCCCAGGGGGACAUUUACAAUUGUCCACCGUGGGGUCUUCCAGCAGAAACAAAGGUUCGGCUCUCUUUUCCCUUUGCCCUGGCCGGAGUUGAAAAGUGACAGGAGAGAAAACUUUGAAACUCUUCAUUAGAGAGAAAAUAUGGAAGAAAUCCAUUAAGAAAGGUUUAAGCGUCCCAGGCUUAACUUUACAUCGUGGCUGGAUGUCAUGUGUACAGUAAUUCAAUUAUGUCUAAAUUAUCUUUAAUUUAUAUUGCAGUCAUUAAUCUGAAAUACCUGCCUUAAGAACAUCUGGUCGGGGACAGCAGAUGAAAAUUAGUCUCGCUGGCUCACUCUGGCUCACUUACAGUACAACUGUUAUUGAUUAGUGUGCAUUGUCCCUGCAAAAUAAAUGAAUAAACAAAUACAAUAACACAAACUACAAUAUUAUAAAUUCUACCACCUGGUGGGCUCUUCUGCUUAAAUUCAGCCAUCUGCCACACCUUUAAGACCAGUCUGUGAAAUAUUGUCUAAUACAAAAAUGGUCAGUGAGGCGAAAAAACCUUGGAGACCGGUGGAUUAAAGGGUGAAGAUGAUAAACACGUGUUGUAUUUACAUGGCAUGUAAAACCCUCUGAUCCAUAUUCAUAAUUCGCCUGCAUCAAUAAGUAGCACAUGCACACAAUGUUUUGGCUUUGAUACCAAAUUCAACCCACUUUGAGUACAAUACGACCGCGUGUUGGCCGGGAGCU